AGUCUCACCGUCCGCCCGGCUCCGGGCGCAGCCGGUGCGCUGUUCCCAGGCCCCGCGGCGCGCGGGAGCUGCGCGUCCAGGAGGGGCCCGGACGCCCUUCUUGGGGAGGGGGCUGCGGGGCGCAUCAUGAGCGGCGCUGGGCGAGCUCGAGGGCCGGGCAGCCUACCUGGACCCCGGCUUCUAGAGAGCCGUCGCCGUCCUUGUCGAGACUCGCUUUCGCCCCUCUGAGGAAUAAGUUAAAAACCGCGAGUCUGGUUCUGAGCCGCCCCCUGGCGCAGGCGCGACCCCACCCGGCCCUCCCGUCUCCCAACUUGGGACAGACGCGGCGGCCGGGCGGUCGGAUCCGUGAGCCUCGGCCGCUGGGGCUACAUACACAGCCCAGGACGCCACAGAAUCGCCGAGGCCCCGCGAACGCCCAAACGGCCGCAAGUCGAAGUGAUCCCAUCUGAAGAAGACAGCGCGAGGAAGCGAGACCCUGCUGUGUGCCGGCCCCCGGAGGGCGCCCCGGGCCCUGUGGGUCGGAGGGUGGGGAAGCACAGAGAAACACGCAGGCAGUAAAACGUUAGGAGGACAGGGGGUGCCAGCGUGCAGGAAAUGCUGCUAAGAGACCUUUAGGAGCCAAGGGGAAAACGGAGAGAUUGGCAGUUCCAGGCACCCACAUCCCAGCGCGGUCCGCUCACCCCUUCCUCCCUGCCCUCCAGGCAGCGCUCAGCCCACGGUAGAAAUGUCUUGCAUCUUUUUUCCGACGAGGAAGAAUUGAACUUUUUAUACCCAACUUUUCUGCUUUCUUAGAAAUGUUGACUCACCUGUGAGGAAGCAUUAUUUGAAACUAUUAUUGUAAAUUGCUUGACAUUUGAAUUAGAUGCUGAAAGAUUAAAGGGUCUCAGAAGAAUCUUUUAAGCUAGACUGGAAUUGACUCUGCCUAAAUGGACAGCAACAGUCAUCUAUACGCAGGAAUAAUAAAGCAGGUGGAGGCAGCCUCUAACUUACCUUCCAGCCACACCGUAGAAUUUCCUGAGCAGGCUUUUUUGUCAGAGUUUUGAGCUGGGUUCCCUGAGACUGGAUUGGGGCUUUCAGUUUCUCCCCUUCUAGAGUCAGACUUCUUCCUGAAGAAAAAGUGUUAUCUCUACUUCCCUAUCACAAACACUUCCUAGAACACAGCCCUGUUAAAAGGUAAAUAGAGGCGGUCCUUCCCACACUAUAUUUCUCUGUGAUCUGAAGCAUGUACACAUUAUACAAUCUUUCGUAUCUUUUUAAAUUAUAGGUAUAAUCUGUGGGAUUAGAUAUAACUAAACAGGUCAAGAAGCAAUCCUGUGACAUAAUACAAUUCCUGAGCACUCCAGGUUUUGAUGAGUUUCCCAAUUGUCACCCCAUUAUCAGCAUUUACAAGAUUGUCAUGUAUUCAUUUAACAAACAUUUAUGAAGCCGGGCGCGGUGGCUCAAGCCUGUAAUCCCAGCACUUUGGGAGGCUGAGGCGGGAGGAUCACAAGGUCAGGAGAUCAGGAUCUUCCUGGCUAACACGGUGAAACCCAGUCUCUACUAAAAAUACAAAAAAUUAGCC
Molecule: long non-coding RNA, 1561 nt
Filed under: Homo sapiens (human)
Lineage: Eukaryota; Metazoa; Chordata; Mammalia; Primates; Hominidae
Description: non-protein coding lnc-MAP10-9:1
Source: RNAcentral